This 497-nucleotide ribosomal RNA is filed under the name uncultured bacterium. Its description in RNAcentral is "partial 16S ribosomal RNA". It matches the Rfam family "Bacterial small subunit ribosomal RNA", at positions 28 to 507 of the family's 1533-position model. The record is from RNAcentral.
GACGAACGCUGGCGGCGUGCCUAAUACAUGCAAGUUGAGCGAUGAAGCUUGGUGCUUGCACCAAUUUGCAGAGCAGCGAACGGGUGAGUAACGCGUGGGGAAUCUGCCUUUGAGCGGGGGACAACAUUUGGAAACGAAUGCUAAUACCGCAUAACAACUUUAAACAUAAGUUUUAAGUUUGAAAGAUGCAAUUGCAUCACUCAAAGAUGAUCCCGCGUUGUAUUAGCUAGUUGGUGAGGUAAAGGCUCACCAAGGCGAUGAUACAUAGCCGACCUGAGAGGGUGAUCGGCCACAUUGGGACUGAGACACGGCCCAAACUCCUACGGGAGGCAGCAGUAGGGAAUCUUCGGCAAUGGACGAAAGUCUGGCCGAGCAACGCCGCGUGAGUGAAGAAGGUUGUCGGAUCGUAAAACUCUGUUGGUAGAGAAGAACGUUGGUGAGAGUGGAAAGCUCAUCAAGUGACGGUAACUACCCAGAAAGGGACGGCUAACUACGUG